This 1473-nucleotide ribosomal RNA is filed under the name Brevibacillus aydinogluensis. RNAcentral describes it as "partial 23S ribosomal RNA". It matches the Rfam family "Bacterial large subunit ribosomal RNA", at positions 290 to 1762 of the family's 2925-position model. The record is from RNAcentral. Lineage: Bacteria; Bacillati; Bacillota; Bacilli; Caryophanales; Paenibacillaceae.
CUGCGGGGUCGUGGGACGUCUCACGUGGAGUUACAAAAGACACCUGUAGGUGAACGGUCUGGGAAGGCCGACCAGAGAGCGUGACAGUCGCGUAACCCAAACAGGUGUCUCUCCGAGACGGAUCCCGAGUAGCACGGGACACGUGAAAUCCCGUGUGAAUCUGGCAGGACCAUCUGCUAAGGCUAAAUACUCCCUAGCGACCGAUAGCGAACCAGUACCGUGAGGGAAAGGUGAAAAGCACCCCGGGAGGGGAGUGAAAGAGAACCUGAAACCGUGUGCUUACAAAUAGUCGGAGCCCGUUUUAGGGGUGACGGCGUGCCUUUUGUAGAAUGAACCGGCGAGUUACGGUAGCGUGCGAGGUUAAGUCGAAGAGACGGAGCCGCAGCGAAAGCGAGUCUGAACAGGGCGACAGUACGCUGCCGUAGACCCGAAACCGUGUGAUCUAGCCAUGUCCAGGGUGAAGGUAGGGUAACACCUACUGGAGGCCCGAACCCACGCACGUUGAAAAGUGCGGGGAUGAGGUGUGGCUAGCGGUGAAAUUCCAAUCGAACUCGGAGAUAGCUGGUUCUCCCCGAAAUAGCUUUAGGGCUAGCCUCGGAAUGAGAGUCUUGGAGGUAGAGCACUGAUUGGGCUAGGGGCCCUCAUCGGGUUACCGAACUCAGUCAAACUCCGAAUGCCAACGACUUAUGUCCGGGAGUCAGACGAUGAGUGCUAAGAUCCAUCGUCAAGAGGGAAACAGCCCAGACCAUCAGCUAAGGUCCCCAAGUGUACGUUAAGUGGGAAACGAUGUGGAGUUGCCCAGACAACCAGGAUGUUGGCUUAGAAGCAGCCACCAUUUAAAGAGUGCGUAAUAGCUCACUGGUCGAGUGACUCUGCGCGGAAAAUGUAACGGGGCUAAACGUACCACCGAAGCUAUGGCAGUCCUUCGGACUGGGUAGGGGAGCGUUCCAAGCAGCGGCGAAGCCGUACCGGAAGGAGCGGUGGAGCGCUUGGAAGUGAGAAUGCCGGUGUAAGUAGCGAAAAGACAAGUGAGAAUCUUGUCCACCGAAAGCCUAAGGGUUCCUGGGGAAGGCUCGUCCUCCCAGGGUUAGUCGGGACCUAAGCUGAGGCCGAAAGGCGUAGGCGAUGGACAACAGGUUGAUAUUCCUGUACCACCUCCAUUCCGCUUGAGCAAUGGCGUGACGCAGGAGGAUAGGGCGAGCGGCCUGCUGGAUGGCCGUCCAAGCAGCAAGCCUGGUGUGUAGGCAAAUCCGCACACCGCCAAGGGCAAGCUGUGAUGGCGAGGGAAAUGCAAGUACCGAAGUCCCUGAUUUCACACUGCCAAGAAAAGCGUCUAGCGAGGAAUGAGGUGCCCGUACCGCAAACCGACACAGGUAGGCGAGGAGAGAAUCCUAAGGUGCGCGGGAGAACUCUUGCUAAGGAACUCGGCAAAAUGGCCCCGUAACUUCGGGAGAAGGGGCGCCCCGGUAGGGU